UGUACUGAUUAGUUUCAAGAACUACAAUUAUAAAUUAUUCCAACUCAAUAUUCUUUAUUUUUAACAACAAAAACUUAAAUAAUUGAGUAAAUUGCCCUGUGCAAGUGCUCAUGGGAAGUCUGGUGUAACAUCAGAGACAAGAAGGCUGUGAGGAUGUGAGAAUGGACAUGAAGCAUCUGGGACAUUCUGGAACAUUCCUUACAAAUCCUGCACCAACACCACUAAUGAAGAGAAGUUGAAUAGAGAUAAAACAGGAGGUGCCAGCAUUAUGGGAUGGCGGUGUAAGCUCUGCACAUUUGUCGUAUCAUCAAA
Molecule: long non-coding RNA, 312 nt
Organism: Clarias gariepinus (North African catfish)
Lineage: Eukaryota; Metazoa; Chordata; Actinopteri; Siluriformes; Clariidae
Exons: 3
Source: RefSeq, a predicted model, not a curated record